Molecule: ribosomal RNA, 468 nt
Filed under: uncultured bacterium
Lineage: Bacteria
Description: partial 16S ribosomal RNA
Rfam family: Bacterial small subunit ribosomal RNA
Source: RNAcentral
GACGAACGCUGGCGGCGUGCUUAACACAUGCAAGUCGAACGGAAAGGCCCUGCUUUUGUGGGGUGCUCGAGUGGCGAACGGGUGAGUAACACGUGAGUAACCUGCCCUUGACUUUGGGAUAACUUCAGGAAACUGGGGCUAAUACCGGAUAGGAGCUCCUGCUGCAUGGUGGGGGUUGGAAAGUUUUGGCGGUUGGGGAUGGACUCGCGGCUUAUCAGCUUGUUGGUGGGGUAGUGGCUUACCAAGGCUUUGACGGGUAGCCGGCCUGAGAGGGUGACCGGCCACAUUGGGACUGCGAUACGGCCCAGACUCCUACGGGAGGCAGCAGUGGGGAAUAUUGCACAAUGGGCGGAAGCCUGAUGCAGCAGCGCCGCGUGCGGGAUGACGGCCUUCGGGUUGUAAACCGCUUUCGCCUGUGACGAAGCGUGAGUGACGGUAAUGGGUAAAGAAGCACCGGCUAACUACGUG